Molecule: long non-coding RNA, 4822 nt
Filed under: Sus scrofa (pig)
Lineage: Eukaryota; Metazoa; Chordata; Mammalia; Artiodactyla; Suidae
Description: lncRNA (ENSSSCG00055009946.1)
Source: RNAcentral
UUUUUUUUUUUUAAAGGCUGCACUAGCCGCAUAUGGAGGUUCCCAGGCUAGGGGUUGAAUCAGAGCUGUAGCUGCUGGCCUACACCACAGCAACACCAGAUCCAAACUGCAUCUUCGACCUACACCACAGCUCACAGCAACUCCAUAUCCUUAACCCACUGAGCAUGGCCAGGGAUCAAACCUGUGUCCUCAUGGAUGCUACUCAUUUUCUGAUUGGGUUGUUUUUCUAUAAUUGAGUUGAAUGAGGUAUUUGUGUAUUUUGGAAGUUGAACCUUCAUCAGCUGUAUCAUUUGCAAAUAUUUUCUCCCAGUCUGUAGGUUGUCUUAUUUUGUUUACGGUUUCCUUUGCUGUACAAAAGCUUAUAAGUUUGAUUAGGUCUCAUUUGUUUAUUUUUGCUUUUAUUUCUAUUGCCUUAGGAGACUGACCUAAGAAAAUACUGGUACAAUUUAUGUCAGAGAAUGUUUUGCCUAUGUUCUCUUCUAAGAGUUUUAUGGUGUCAUUUCUUAUAUUUAAGUCUUUAAGUCAUUUUGAGUUAUUUCUGUGUAUGCUGUGAAGUUGUAUUCUGACUUCAUUGUUUGACAUGCAACUGUCCAGCUUUCCCAACACCACUUGCUGAAGAGACUGUCUUUUCUCCAUUUUAUAUUUUUGCCCCCUUUGUCAAAGAUUAAUUAACCAUAGGUAUGGGGUUUAUUUCUGGGCCUUCUAUUCUGUUCAGAAUGUCUGCUUUUGUGCCAUGCCCUGCUGUUUUGAUUACUAUAGCUUUGUAGUAGCAUCUGAAAUCAAAACACUAGAUUUUAAAGAUAUAGUAUAAAAAAUGUAAAAUAUUUCUAUACUGAUUGCCUGUUAAAAUAACAUUUUAGAUAUAUUGGGUAAAUAAAACUAUUACUUUUAUAAAAAGUUUUAAAGAAAAAAAACAAAGAUUAAUAAGGCACUUAUAUAAAGAUGACUCAAACUCAUAAAGCAUUUCAUAUUUUUCCAGUACCUUCACCACAGUGUCUGACACUUAAUAAUCUCAAAAAAAUAUUUCUUUGAAUGACUGAUGGGAUCCUCACUAAUGUAGUAGAGCAGAAACAGUGUAAACAUUAGAGCCUAGAACAUCUAAGUCCAAAUCUCAUCUCUAAUACUUUUUUUUUUCUUUUUGUGGCCACUCCGGCAAAAUAUGGAAGCUCCUGGGCUGGGGUCAAAUUGGAGCUGCAGCUGCCAGCCUAUGUCACUGCCACACCCUCACCUGAUCUGAGUCUGCAUCUGCAAUCUACACCACAGCAUGCAGCAGCACUGGAUCCUUAACCCACUGAACAAGGCCAGGAAUCAAACUGCAUCCUCACAGACACCAUAUCAGGGUCUUAACCCACUGAGCUACACCAGGAAUUCAUCAUCUCUAACAGUUAUCAACUCUGAGAUCUGGGGGAAAUUAGGCUAAAAAUGACUCCUUCAAAGAUGUCUAACUUCUUGUCCCCGGAAUCUGUGAAUACGUCACUUUAGAUAAUAAAAGGGACUUUGUAGAUUAGGUUAAAUUAAGGAUCUUGAGAUAGAGAGAUUAGCUUGGACUAUCCAUCUAGGCCCACUGUGAUUACAAGGGUCCUCAUAAGAGGAAAGCAGGAAGGUCAAAGUCAAAUAUGAAGAUGGAAUGAUGGAAGCAAAGAUUUGAGGAAUGUAGCUCUGCUGAAACCUUGAUUUCAGGACUCCUAACUUCAGUACUGGAAGAGAAUACAUUUGUGAUGUUUUAAACCAUUAACAUUGUGGUAAUUAGCACAAGUGGAAACUAAUUCAAGUACUCUGAGCCUUCAUUUCUUCUGGGGAAAACUGAAGUACUAUAUAUGUACUAGGAGGAUUAAACACCAUUUUAGAGCACUAGGCACAUAGUCUGCACUCAAAAAGUGGUAGCUGCUCUGACACUCACUGUUUUGUUUGAGGUACAGCUCAUCACUAAUUAAAAGCCUGAGCUCAGGAGUCAGACAGACAGGUAUUCCUCUGCAGGCUCCACCACUGAUUGAUUCUAGGUUUCCUCAUUUGCAAAAUGGAGUUAAGGGUAGGCACAUAUCAUAACACUGUUGUGAGGAUUAAUUAAAACAUUUCAUAUGAAUACUGAGCCUCAUUCCUGACACAAAGUUAGUGCAUCAUAAAUGUUGGCUCCAAUGACCACUGCUGAUCCUGCUUCUACUGUUUGUUUUCACGACUACACCACUGACGCACCCAAAACCAUCUCCGUAAUUUAAAAAGAUGUUCUGUAAUUUCCUGCUACCAUAUGACUAGAUCUUGCCAUGGUCACUCAUUCUGAACUUCAAAGACCAAAGUUGGCCUGGGGCUCAAACUGUCGCUCUACCCUGAGCUCACCCAGAUUUAACCUUAACCAUUAAUUCCUCCCCUUGCAUUCCAAAGAGAAAAAAGUAUCUUUAUUAAAAUAGCCAAGCUAGGCUUCAGUAAAUAUUAACAAAUACUAAAACUAAAAACAAUAAUGCUUUUAGCUUUAGUAAACCAAACCCUUAAGAAACAAUUACAUUUUUCUUUCUUGUCCUGAGCAUGUCUUUACCAGCUUAUCCUCAGCUGGCCUUUCAAUAAUUUAAAAUAUAUAUUCUAAAUUUUUGAUAAAUCAUGAAGAGUGCCUUAAAAAGCCCCUGUUUCAAUACUCCUGUUAAACUCAUACAGUUAUAAAUUACAGGGUUUUUUGGUCACACCCACAGCAUGUGGAAGUUUCUAGGCCAGGGAUCAAACCUGUGACACAGCAAUGACCCUAGCUGCUGCAGUGACAACACUGGAUCCCUAAUCCACUACAUCACAGGGGAACGUCUAACUAUGAAUUAAAUAUAAACUAUAAUAAAUAUAAAUCAAAAUACUCAAUGUGCAUAGCCAUAACACUACUAAUUUUAAAACACUAGUUUUAAAAUGAGAAAUUGAAAAAAUAAAGGGAAUUUCUGAUUCAUCAAAUUUUCUUCUGAUAGUAUGUUCAUCACCAUCACUGUCACCAUGAAAAACCAGAAAAAGGAAAAGAACAUUCUACGUACACAAAAACUAUUCAUUUUCUAUUUUAAAUGGAAGGUUUUUACAUAUUUACAUUUGUAUCCACUGACAUUAACAAGAGUUUGUCAAUAUAGGAAAUGUAUUUUUCAACUGCCUAGUUCAAUUUGAACUAUUAGGGUAUAUAUACUUUGUCAACCAAAUGAGGACACUUUUGAGAGUAGAAAGAGGCACUUUUAAUAAUAGUAUCAGGAAACAGAUAAGGAACUAUGAUGGACAUGUGCUCAACAUGGUCCUCCUUAGUUGAAUGGAUGUGACAUCAUCUGGGUGGGGGAAGCUAGAGCAGGAGGGAGAAGACACUAGCACGAUAUUAUCUUAAUCCCACCUCUAUGGCUGGUGUCAAAGUGUCCUUUAAGGGGUUGCUUGGCUUGCUGGGUUUUAGGCUAACUUAGAACAGGAACCAGAAGAAAAGAAAAUCAGAGGAUUUUAGAUACUCAUUACCAUUCUUCCCAUCCCCAUGAUUAUCUUCUCUCGUGCUCUGUUUCUCACGUAAUGUCACAUUUAUUAUUCAACACACUUUGCUUUACAAUCGAUUAUGUGCUAGGUAACUUAGGGACACAUAUGAGUUCUUAAAGAGCAGCAAAUCAUGUACAAGAGGCAUUUAAACAUGAGCAUUCCUGUUACUCUCACACCAGUGUUUGCCUGGUUGUAUAAUAUAAGUGACAUUUGGGAAUGUGUGUAUAGAGUAGAUAGCAUGUGUGACAGAAGGCCUAAAAAUUCUAAUGGAAUAAGAGAAGCAUUUCUUGAGGGCGAAACCCCUAAAAUAAGAACCAACCCUCUAGACAUGUGGAGCAGAGGACACAAAAUUAAAAGGGCCAGAAUCUUGAGUACUUGGUGCUGAGGAAAACUGUAAGCAUUUUUUUUUUUUUUUUUUUUUUUUUUUUUUUUUUUGGCUGCACACACAGCAUAAGGAAGUUCCUGAGCCAGGGGUCAAAUCCAAGCCACGGCUGCAGCCCAUGACACAGCUGCAGCCACACUGAAUGCACCCACUGUGCCAGGCUGGGGACAGAACCCACACCCCACAGAGCUAACACCAAUCCUUAACCCGCUGCACCACAGAGGGCACACCCAACUGUGGGAUGGGACAGUGAGGCAGAAAAUGGACAGGAAGGCUUUUUUUCAAAGUUCAAAGAGAUUCUCAGGUUGAGAGCCACUGAGAUAGGAAGGUUCUUAAACCAGAAUUAGGAAAGGGGGCGGGGGGUGAGCAGUUGGAAUGUGGAUGAUAGAAUGGACGGUGAAGGGAUGACGUACACAGAUGUAGAAUUUAGACAUAUCAGAGUUUUCUGAAUUGGUCCACUGUUUUAAUUUUGAUGACAUUUAACUGUACCAGAUAAGGUUUUGGAAGACUUCACUCAAGGAACAAGAUAUUUCUCAUAAAAAAAUUAUACAUAUAUAUACAUAUAUAAUACACACACAUAUAUUAAGUUCUACUUUAACUCGAACAGGAAUUUGGAAGUUGCUGACAUUUCCAGCUUUUGAGUCUAAGAAUUUAUUACCUCCAGAGUCUCUUCCAGGGGUGGGGGGGAAUAUGGAGGGGUAGCGCUAACCCUUUGAUGAUACACACAUAAAGCAACGCCCAAACCCCCUCUGGAGAAGAUACUAUAGAGUGAUACAUCAAGCAUUUGGCAGUGCCUACAGCAGAAUGCUUUUGUUUUUCUUUAGUAAUGACUUGUAAGUGGAGAGUUCAGGAUAACUGAAUGGAAAGUCUCCUCUUUUCCAGAUUUGACAACUAAAGACCACAGCUGAGCAUAAGCCUGAUAUUGAAAGGACACAAGGCCUGUCUCUCCCGCUUAUUUCCAGACAUCUA